GAAGUUAUAGCUCAGUGGUAGAGUGCAUGCUUAGCAUGCACAAAGUCCUGGGUUCAAUUCCCAGUGCCUCCC
Molecule: transfer RNA, 72 nt
Filed under: Camelus bactrianus (Bactrian camel)
Lineage: Eukaryota; Metazoa; Chordata; Mammalia; Artiodactyla; Camelidae
Also listed under: 2 other names
Rfam family: tRNA
About the family: Transfer RNA (tRNA) molecules are approximately 80 nucleotides in length. Their secondary structure includes four short double-helical elements and three loops (D, anti-codon, and T loops).
Source: Rfam by way of RNAcentral